GAUGAACGCUGGCGGCGUGCCUAAUACAUGCAAGUCGAGCGAACGGACGAGAAGCUUGCUUCUCUGAUGUUAGCGGCGGACGGGUGAGUAACACGUGGAUAACCUACCUAUAAGACAGGGAUAACUUCGGGAAACCGGAGCUCAUACCGGAUAAUAUUUUGAACCGCAGGGUUCAAAAGUGAAAGACGGUCUUGCUGUCACUUAUAGAUGGAUCCGCGCUGCAUUAGCUAGUUGGUAAGGUAACGGCUUACCAAGGCAACGAUGCAUAGCCGGCCUGAGAGGAUGAUCGGCCACACUGGAACUGAGACACGGUCCAGACUCCUACGGGAGGCAGCAGUAGGGAAUCUUCCGCAAUGGGCGAAAGCCUGACGGAGCAACGCUGCGUGAGUGAUGAAGGUCUUCGGAUCGUAAAACUCUGUUAUUAGGGAAGAACAUAUGUGUAAGUAACUGUGCACAUCUUGACGGUACCUAAUCAGAAAGCCACGGCUAACUACGUG
This 497-nucleotide ribosomal RNA is filed under the name uncultured bacterium. Its description in RNAcentral is "partial 16S ribosomal RNA". It matches the Rfam family "Bacterial small subunit ribosomal RNA", at positions 28 to 507 of the family's 1533-position model. The record is from RNAcentral.